CCCUUAGAUGUUCUGGGCCGCACGCGCGCUACACUGAUGCAUGCAACGAGUUCUAUCCUUGGCCGGAAGGCCUGGGUAAUCUGUGAACGUGCAUCGUGAUAGGGAUAGAUUAUUGCAAUUAUUAAUCUUGAACGAGGAAUUCCUAGUAAACGCAAGUCAUCAGCUUGCAUUGAUUACGUCCCUGCCCUUUGUACACACCGCCCGUCGCACCUACCGAUUGAAUGGUCCGGUGAAGCGUUCGGACCGUGGCCUUUGGACGGUUCGCCGUCUGUUGGCUGCGGGAAGUUCGUUAAACCUUAUCAUUUAGAGGAAGGAGAAGUCGUAACA
This 327-nucleotide ribosomal RNA is filed under the name uncultured eukaryote. RNAcentral's name for it is "partial 18S ribosomal RNA". It matches the Rfam family "Eukaryotic small subunit ribosomal RNA", at positions 1470 to 1796 of the family's 1831-position model. The record is from RNAcentral.